AUGCUCUCCGUCGGCGGCCGCUUCCAGGGCGGAGCUCCCCCAUGGCGACGGCCCCGGCCACGCUCGCGCCUGGCGUCUCCGCCGGCCUCCAGCAGCGGCGCCGGCGACUCCGAAAAGGCCAGACCUUUGCUCGUGGAGAGGUACCGCGACGGCGCCGCCAAGAGGUAUAUGUUGGACGGCGACUCUAAGCUGCAAGUUCACUGGGAGAAGCAUGAUGAAUCUUCGAUGAACACUGUCGAAGAUGAAAAGGCGAAUUCUUCGAUUCCCCGGGCUGUUAGUGAUUUUGUGCUUCCAGCAGGUUUUCCAGAAUCUGUCUCGGAUGAUUACCUGCAGUACAUGCUAUUGCAAUUCCCCACAAACGUGACAGGAUGGAUCUGUCACACGUUGGUUACAUCAAGUCUUCUGAAGGCUGUAGGUGUUGGGUCCUUCACAGGAACUUCAGCAGCUGCUGCUGCCGCUGCUAUCAGAUGGGUAUCAAAAGAUGGCAUCGGAGCUUUUGGGCGUCUUCUUAUUGGUGGACGAUUUGGAACACUUUUUGAUGAUGACCCAAAGAAGUGGCGGAUGUAUGCUGAUUUCAUUGGGAGUGCUGGAAGCAUCUUUGAUCUCACCACUCCUCUCUAUCCUGGCUACUUCCUCCCACUUGCAUCAUUGGGGAAUCUUGCAAAGGCUGUAGGAAGAGGAUUUAGAGAUCCUUCCAAUCGUGUUAUCCAAAAUCACUUCGCAAAAUCUGGAAAUCUAGGGGAGAUUGCUGCGAAGGAGGAAGUAUGGGAAGUAGGAGCUCAGCUGGUAGGCCUUUCUAUAGGUGUACUUAUUCUGGACACGCCAGGUAUACAGUCUUCAUACUUAACUCUUACUCUGACAUGGCUGGGUGUUCGUCUUCUGCAUCUUUGGUUUCGCUACCAGUCCCUAGUAGUUCUCAAGUUCCGCACAGUUAACCUAAAACGUGCUCGGAUUCUUGUGAGGUCACAUGUUGCAAAUCAUACAGUUCCUGGCUAUGUUGCUUGCAAUGAGGAAGAGAAUAUUUUAACAUGGGAGAGAUUCUUGCAACCCCGAAUUUCUUUUGGUGUGCCCAUGGAGAGGAUGCUCGGUGGAGAGGAAUCCACUCACAUGGACAUGGUGAAUAUGCUGCUGAAGCUAUACAAGAAUGAGAAGUACAUCCUCUGUGUUGAGCAGCUUGGGUCAGAAGAGGCAACAUACCUGGUUACAUUCAAGGAGGCGGCAACGAGCAUGUCGGUCCUAAGGAGCCUAUGGCAAGCCCACUGGCUUCACCAAAAUCGACUGAAGGAGGACGACGUUUUCGCCUGGCUAGAAGAGAGCCUCGCUGCAUUGGAGGAUGGGUUUGCAAACUUCAUCAAACAGAUGGAGGAAGCUGGCUGGGAUCAAAGCCAAAUCUUCUUGAAGGUGCCAAAAGAACCUGUCUUGGUGUUGGAACACCUUGACCAGGAGGUGUGA
RNAcentral lists this ribosomal RNA (1452 nucleotides) under Triticum aestivum (bread wheat). RNAcentral's name for it is "partial small subunit ribosomal RNA". The record is from RNAcentral. Lineage: Eukaryota; Viridiplantae; Streptophyta; Magnoliopsida; Poales; Poaceae.